AGGGGGGCCAAGCCCCCUGGUGCCGAAGCAAACGCAUUAAGUAUUCCACCUGGGGAGUACGUUCGCAAGAAUGAAACUCAAAGGAAAUUGACGGGGACCCGCACAAGCGGUGGAGCAUGUGGUUUAAUUUGAAGCAACGCGAAGAACCUUACCAGGCCUUGACAUCCGGAUGGCGUAUGGGCAAUGCCAUAUUUCCUUCGGGACAUCCGAGACAGGUGGUGCAUGGUUGUCGUCAGCUCGUGUCGUGAGAUGUUGGGUUAAGUCCCGCAACGAGCGCAACCCCUGCCUUCUGUAGCCAGCACAUAAAGGUGGGCACUCUGGAGGGACAGCCGAGGAUAACUCGGAGGAAGGCGGGGAUGACGUCAAAUCAUCAUGCCCCUUAUGGCCAGGGCUACACACGUGCUACAAUGGCGCAAACAAAGGGAAGCAGAGCUGUGAGGCCGAGCAAAUCCCAAAAACAGCGUCCCAGUUCGGAUUGUAGUCUGCAACUCGACUACAUGAAGCCGGAAUAAGGGAGUAAUCGCGAAUCAGAAUGUCGCGGUGAA
RNAcentral lists this ribosomal RNA (545 nucleotides) under uncultured bacterium. RNAcentral describes it as "bacterial SSU rRNA". It matches the Rfam family "Bacterial small subunit ribosomal RNA", at positions 825 to 1366 of the family's 1533-position model. The record is from RNAcentral.